Alosa sapidissima (American shad) is the source of this 101-nucleotide long non-coding RNA. RefSeq lists it as uncharacterized. The record is from RefSeq and is a predicted model, not a curated record. Lineage: Eukaryota; Metazoa; Chordata; Actinopteri; Clupeiformes; Clupeidae. The transcript is spliced from 3 exons.
GAUUGGGGGGGCAGACCAAGCUGGAAAUUUAGCCAGGCUACUGGGGAAUCCCCCACUCUUUGCGAUAAGUGCCAUGGGAUCUUUAAUGACCACAGUGAGUC